Molecule: ribosomal RNA, 619 nt
Filed under: uncultured archaeon
Lineage: Archaea
Description: bacterial SSU rRNA
Rfam family: Archaeal small subunit ribosomal RNA
Source: RNAcentral
CCCUACGGGGCGCAGCAGGCGCGAAAACUUUACAAUGCGGGAAACCGUGAUAAGGGAACACCGAGUGCCAGCAUCAUAUGCUGGCUGUCCAGAUGUGUAAACUACAUCUGUUAGCAAGGGCCGGGCAAGACCGGUGCCAGCCGCCGCGGUAAUACCUGCAGCCCAAGUGGUGGUCGAUUUUAUUGAGUCUAAAACGUCCGUAGCCGGUUCGAUAAAUCUUUGGGUAAAUCGGGGGGCUUAACCUUCCGUCUUCCGAGGAGACUGUCGAACUUGGGACCGGGAGAGGCUAGAGGUACUUCUGGGGUAGGGGUAAAAUCCUGUAAUCCUAGAAGGACCACCGGUGGCGAAGGCGUCUAGCUAGAACGGAUCCGACGGUGAGGGACGAAGCCCUGGGUCGCAAACGGGAUUAGAUACCCCGGUAGUCCAGGGUGUAAACGCUGCAGACUUGGUGUUGGAAGCCCUUUGGGGGCAUUCAGUGCCGGAGAGAAGUUGUUAAGUCUGCUACUUGGGGAGUACGUCCGCAAGGAUGAAACUUAAAGGAAUUGGCGGGGGAGCACCGCAACGGGAGGAGCGUGCGGUUUAAUUGGAUUCAACACCGUAAAACUCACCAGGGAAGGCU